UUCCGGUUGAUCCUGCCGGAGGCCAUUGCUAUCGGAGUCCGAUUUAGCCAUGCUAGUCGCACGGGUUUAGACCCGUGGCGGAAAGCUCAGUAACACGUGGUCGAACUGCCCUAUGAAUCGGGAUAACCUCGGGAAACUGAGGCUAAUCCCGAAUACUGCUCCCAGGCUUGAAUGCGGGGAGCUGGAAACGCUCCGGCGCCAUAGGAUGUGACUGCGGCCGAUUAGGUAGACGGUGGGGUAACGGCCCACCGUGCCGAUAAUCGGUACGGGUUGUGAGAGCAAGAGCCCGGAGACGGUAUCUGAGACAAGAUACCGGGCCCUACGGGGCGCAGCAGGCGCGAAACCUUUACACUGCACGACAGUGCGAUAGGGGGACUCCGAGUGCGAGGGCAUAUAGUCCUCGCUUUUCUGCACCGUAAGGUGGUACAGGAACAAGUGCUGGGCAAGACCGGUGCCAGCCGCCGCGGUAAUACCGGCAGCACGAGUGAUGGCCGCUCUUAUUGGGCCUAAAGCGUCCGUAGCCGGCCAGUCAAGUCCGUUGGGAAAUCGGCGCGCCUAACGCGUCGGCGUCCAGCGGAAACUGACUGGCUUGGGGCCGGAAGACCCGAGGGGUACGUCUGGGGUAGGAGUGAAAUCCCGUAAUCCUGGACGGACCACCGAUGGCGAAAGCACCUCGGAAGGACGGAUCCGACAGUGAGGGACGAAAGCUAGGGUCUCGAACCGGAUUAGAUACCCGGGUAGUCCUAGCUGUAAACGAUGCUCGCUAGGUGUGGCACAGGCUACGAGCCUGUGCUGUGCCAUAGGGAAGCCGUGAAGCGAGCCGCCUGGGAAGUACGUCCGCAAGGAUGAAACUUAAAGGAAUUGGCGGGGGAGCACUACAACCGGAGGAGCCUGCGGUUUAAUUGGA
RNAcentral lists this ribosomal RNA (907 nucleotides) under uncultured archaeon. Its description in RNAcentral is "bacterial SSU rRNA". It matches the Rfam family "Archaeal small subunit ribosomal RNA", at positions 1 to 910 of the family's 1478-position model. The record is from RNAcentral.